UGGUAGUGAACUCAUGGGUCACCUUUU
RNAcentral lists this non-coding RNA (27 nucleotides) under Cricetulus griseus (Chinese hamster). The record is from RNAcentral. Lineage: Eukaryota; Metazoa; Chordata; Mammalia; Rodentia; Cricetidae.